UUUAGUGAGAAGAACCCUUUGGAAAAUGGGACCAUAGACGGUGAUAGUCCGGUAUUCGAAGCUAAAUGAAGCGUAGUGGUAUCCUGAGUAGCGCGGGACACGAGGAAUCUUGCGUGAAUCUGCCGGGACCAUCCGGUAAGGCUAAAUACUCCCGAGAGACCGAUAGCGAACCAGUACUGUGAAGGAAAGGUGAAAAGCACUUCGAAUAGAAGAGUGAAAUAGUCCCUGAAACCGUGCGCCUACAAGCGGUCGGAGCUGCUUCAGCAGUGACGGCGUGCCUUUUGCAUAAUGAACCUACGAGUUACUUUUUCCGGCAAGGUUAAGGAUCUUGAGAUCCGCAGCCGAAGCGAAAGCGAGUCUUAACAGGGCGAUUAGUCGGAAGGAGUAGACGCGAAACCAAGUGAUCUACCCUUGGUCAGGUUGAAGGUUAGGUAACACUAACUGGAGGACCGAACCGAUAAGCGUUGAAAAGCUUCCGGAUGAACUGAGGGUGGGGGUGAAAGGCUAAUCAAACUUGGAGAUAGCUCGUACUCCCCGAAAUGCAUUUAGGUGCAGCCUUGGGAAUUACUACUGUGAGGUAGAGCGACUGAUAAGAUGCGAGGGCUUCACCGCCUAUCAAGUCUUGAUAAACUCCGAAUGCGCAGUAGUUCGAUCCCAGGAGUGAGGGCAUGGGUGCUAAGGUCCAUGUCCUAAAGGAGAAGAAUCCGGACCAUCAGCUAAGGUCCCGAAAUAAUUGCUAAGUUGAACUAACGAAGUCAGAUUGCUAAGACAGCUAGGAUGUUGGCUUGGAAGCAGCCAUUCAUUUAAAGAGUGCGUAACAGCUCACUAGUCGAGGAGUUUGGCGUGGAUAAUAAUCGGGCAUCAAGCAAUUUACCGAAGCUAUGGGAU
This 888-nucleotide ribosomal RNA is filed under the name Bacteroides sp. MSK.18.22. RNAcentral describes it as "partial 23S ribosomal RNA". It matches the Rfam family "Bacterial large subunit ribosomal RNA", at positions 324 to 1208 of the family's 2925-position model. Lineage: Bacteria; Pseudomonadati; Bacteroidota; Bacteroidia; Bacteroidales; Bacteroidaceae. RNAcentral also lists the same sequence under 3 other names. The record is from RNAcentral.